CUUGAUCGAUCCCAACCACAGUGGCCGAUCCUGCGGCCGGUCCUUCCCGUACGUCGCCAGCAGGGCCUGCGCCUC
Molecule: antisense RNA, 75 nt
Filed under: Micromonospora peucetia
Lineage: Bacteria; Bacillati; Actinomycetota; Actinomycetes; Micromonosporales; Micromonosporaceae
Description: ASpks TB sRNA
Rfam family: ASpks TB sRNA
Source: RNAcentral